CGUCACUUUGCCCCACCGGGCGGCGGCAGGGACGUUAAAAGGGAAGCGGGUGUCAAUCCCGCACGAUCUCGUCACUGUGAUAAGGGAGUCCACUGUCAGGGUGCUUUUGCACCGGUCACUGAGCCAUCCGGCUUGGGAAGGCGGCAGCGGGCGUUGAGCUUUCAGUCAGGAAACCUGCCCGCUGUUGGUACCGGGG
RNAcentral lists this non-coding RNA (196 nucleotides) under Faecalibacterium prausnitzii. The record is from RNAcentral. Lineage: Bacteria; Bacillati; Bacillota; Clostridia; Eubacteriales; Oscillospiraceae.